GUGCUUGCUUUGGCAACAUGUAUACUAAAAUUGGAACAAUACUGAGAAGUUUAGCAUGUCCUUGUGCAAGGAUGACAUGCAAAUUUGUGAAGCAUUCUAUUUAAAA
Cynocephalus volans (Philippine flying lemur) is the source of this 106-nucleotide small nuclear RNA. The record is from RefSeq and is a predicted model, not a curated record. NCBI's taxonomy places the organism in Eukaryota, Metazoa, Chordata, Mammalia, Dermoptera, Cynocephalidae.